ACACAUCUCAAAAUCACACAAAUUGACGAAUAAUGUUGCCGGCCAGCUCCUUCCUGCUCCUCGCGCCGGAAUUUGUUUGCACCAUGGUGGCCUUGAAAUACCACGAGACGAUAUCAUGGGUGGCGACGUAUGGUUGGCUUAGUCCGCUGGCGGCGGAGAGCCCUACCUGAACCUGCUCGGGAAGAAAGCCGCUCAAAUCGUACUCAUAGCUGACCUCAACCGUCUUCCAGCCGUUGGUGGCGGUGACGGUGAUCAUCUUCGUGGCUCCGACGUAGUUAAUCCGCGCACUCACCAGCUGCCUGAUUAUGCCAUCGCUGAACUCCGUCGUGUUGCUGGAUUCCCUAGAUCCGAUGUCGAUGCCGAUGUGAGGAUAGCUCGGAUCCCACGGGUUGUUGACAAAGGUGUCAAACUCGACGGCGAAGACCGAUGGGCUAUUUCCGGAGACUCCGAAGAUUCCGAGGUUGCCCCCGCUGCCGCCGUUGGGGAGUGGUGGAGGCCGGCGGGGGCCAGUGAAGAAGGUGAUGCCGUCAGCGGUGAGGUUGGUGGGGCGUGGGUGUGAUUAUGAAGUUUACGGUGGUUCAAGUCGACUUGGCCGCCGGCUUGGGAGAACUGGACCGGGUUCGAGUGCAAGACCCGGCCGACACUGCCUAUCGUCGGGAAGGUGAGGCGGAGGAAGGGGGAGUUCCAUACGAAAUGGGCGUGGCCUUGGUAGGUGAGAUCGGUCGGCAAGUCGCUCCAGAAGUCGUAGGUGAAGGACGUCGAUUGGGACUGCGCAGUGUUGGCGGCAGCGGCGAGGAGGAGGAUGAUGGAGGAGAGGAGAGGAAUUAGGGUUUGGAGGAGCUUAGCCAUGGCUUAAUUGAGUAUAUUUAGAUGUGGUGGAUGAUGGUGGUAUCUCUUGCUCCUAUUUAUAGUGAAUAGUGUAUAGAGUAUAGUGUAUAUAUGCAUGAUAUUAUGAUUUAAUUUCCUAUGAAUUAUUGAACUUUCAUCAAAUUUUUAUUUUAUAUAUAAACUUCAAAUUAAAUGUAGCGUGAUAAUCACUAAAUUUAUUUAAUCUUAUAUUUGCUACCAAUCAGGAUUCUAGCCAAAUUUACUGUUGACAUUACAAAGUCGAGGAUAUCCUAAGAUGGAUUGAAACAUUAAGAUAUUCCAAGGAUCUUAAUAAUUUCUAUCAUUUGCCAUAAUUUUAUUUGAUUCAUAUCUCAUUGAAAGAAUAUGAUUUUUAUCCCCUCGUUCACAAGAUUGUAUGGUGAACUCAGGACAUGAGUUUUAAUAAAUACUUCUUCUGUCCCCAAAAUACUUUCUAUGAGAGAGGGGCACGAGUAUUAAGACAAAUUGUUGAGUAUAUUCGAAGUGGUUAAAAAGUGUUAGUAUUAAAAAUGAUGAAAAUGUGUUAUAAUUAGUAUUUGAAGUGGUGAAAAGGUAAAAAAAAAAUAGAGUAAAUGGAGUAUAUAUUAUUAGUGGGGUAGUGUUCUAAAAUGAAAAAUGAAGUUAUUUGAAGGACAAUCCGAAAAGAAAAGUUAGAAAGCUAUUUGGAGGACGGGGUAAAUUGGAGAUAUGUAGAAAGUGUAGAAGGAUCCACCAAAAUUGAGUGGAGAAAAAGCUCCACCAAAGUUGAUGUGUUAAAAAUGGUUUGAAUAUUUUGUAAAUAUUGAAUGUGAAUGAUGUUUAAAAUAUAAGGGGCGUAGUUUCCAAAUAAAGAAAGUAUACAAUCUUUAUGGACAGACGAAAAUNUUUUAUUUGUAGAUUUAGAGCAGACUCGAUCGCUUAGCCCUUAUUUAUUUACGACACACACAUCACAAAAUCACACAUAUUGACGAAUAAUGUUGCCGGCCAGCUCCUUCCUGCUCCUCGCGCCAGAAUUUGUUUGCACCAUGGUGGCCUUGAAAUUCCACAAGACGAUAUCAUGGGUGGCGACGUAUGGUUGGCUUAGUCCGCUGGCGGCGGAGAGCCCUACCUGAACCUGCUCAGGAAGAAAGCCGCUCAAAUCGUACUCAUAGCUGACCUCAACCGUCUUCCAGCCGUUGGUGGCGGUGACGGUGAUCAUCUGGGUGGCUCCGACGUAGUUAAUCCGCGCACUCACCAGCUGCCUGAUUAUGCCAUCGCUGAACUCCGUCGUGUUGCUGGAUUCCCUAGAUCCGAUGUCGAUGCCGAUGUGAGGAUAGCUCGGAUCCCACGGGUUGUUGACAAAAGUGUCAAACUCGACGGCGAAGACCGAUGGGCUAUUUCCGGAGACUCCGAAGAUUCCGAGGUUGCCCCCGCUGCCGCCGUUGGGGAUGGUGGAGCCGACGGGGGCCAUGAAGAAGGUGAUGCCGUCAGCGGUGAGGUUGGUGGGGCUGGGUGUGAUUAUGAAGUUUACGGUGGUUUCAAAGUCGACUUGGCCGCCGGCUUGGGAGAACUGGACCGGGUUCGAGUGCAAGACCCGGCCGACACUGCCUAUCGUCGGGAAGGUGAGGCGGAGGAAGGGGGAGUUCCAUACGAAAUGGGCGUGGCCUUGGUAGGUGAGAUCGGUCGGCAAGUCACUCCAGAAGUCGUAGGUGAAGGACGUCGAUUGGGACUGCGCAGUGUUGGCGGCAGCGGCGAGGAGGAGGAUGAUGGAGGAGAGGAGAGGAAUUAGGGUUUGGAGGAGCUUAGCCAUGGCUUAAUUGAGUAUAUUUAGAUGUGGUGGAUGAUGGUGGUAUCUCUUGCUCCUAUUUAUAGUGAAU
This 2702-nucleotide long non-coding RNA is filed under the name Salvia miltiorrhiza (redroot sage). Its description in RNAcentral is "long non-coding RNA (SMIL_LNC010426)". Lineage: Eukaryota; Viridiplantae; Streptophyta; Magnoliopsida; Lamiales; Lamiaceae. The record is from RNAcentral.